RNAcentral lists this long non-coding RNA (1269 nucleotides) under Bos indicus x Bos taurus (hybrid cattle). Its description in RNAcentral is "lncRNA (ENSBIXG00000009477.1)". The record is from RNAcentral. Lineage: Eukaryota; Metazoa; Chordata; Mammalia; Artiodactyla; Bovidae.
CCACGAUAUGGUUUCAGAGUUUAAGCAUUUUGCAACCCAGGCUCUUUACAGCUGGCCUUUCAAGCAGUUAACUCAGAUGACUGGCUAUAUAUGUGGUGUUUAGUGUUACAGUUUCGAGUAUGAAGCAUGAGCUGGUUGGGAAGGGAGCAUGUCAAAGGGUUUACCAGUCUGGGGCCUGGGCUGACGUGGCGGGUUUAUGUUCUGAGUUUGGUCACAUCCCUGGUUAUGACCUGGGGUGUUUUUUCUCUGUGCCCCAAUUUUUCUGCUCAUAAGAGGGCAUCCUAUCCAUGCCUGCUUCACUGAACAUGAAGGGGGUGGGAAAGCAGAGCCUGGUGCCAAGCGGACGCUCAGCAGAUGGAAGCAGGUGUUGUCCACCUACAAGGGAGGCAGAAAGUGGGCCGUUGUCUGAUUAUUCGGGUCAAGAAUUAAAGUGCAAUAUUCAGAGAGGGGACUGGCUUGACAUUUUGAAGUCGUGAACCAGAUCUGCUGAAUGCAGUGCCUGGUCGAAUGCAAACACCUUUAACUGACCUGGCUUUGGAGAAGAGAUGAGCCUGGGUUCGGGUUUCAGCUCCACUCUUGCACAUGGCGCGACCUCCGCAAGGCCCCCUUAGCAGCCACACGCCUGCUGGUCACACUUCCCGUGCAAUCCAGGGUGGGUGUGGUGAGGACUGCAGGGCACUUUAAAGAACCCAGCAUAGUUUGGGGUACAUAAUAAGCAUAUUAAAAUUGGCGUUUGUACUCUGUCCUUUGAUCAUGUAUCAGAAAGAUACAAUAAGUAUUUAGAAGUUUCUAACAGCUGUGUAAUGAAAGUGAGGACCUUGAGUUAGAAAAUGUAAAGAUACCUUAACAUUUAGGGUUGUUCUCACAGUGUUACACAUGAUGCAUUUUGGUUUUUUAUUUCCUUUUUUUUUUUCUGAAUAUGAAGGUGACGCUGACUUUAGAAGCUUAGAAAUUAUAGAGAUGCAUAUAGUAGAAAAGAAUUCUGAUACUUCUCCCCAGAGAUGGCUAAUCAGCAGCUUCUUGAAUGCUGAGCUAAGUAUCAAGUUGAACCUUGGAGAGGGAAGAGGAAAGCUUCAACACGGGCUUGAAAGCAACAGAAAUUUAAAAAGUAAAUCUCCUAAGCAGAGACAUCACUUUGCUGACAAAGGUCUGUAUAGUCAAAGCUAUGGUUUUUCCAGUAGUCAUGUAGAAUGUGACAGCUGGACCAUAAAGGAGGCUGAGUGCUUAAGAACUGAUGCUUUUGAACUGUGGUACUGGAGAGACUCUUGA